RNAcentral lists this transfer RNA (73 nucleotides) under archaeon. RNAcentral's name for it is "tRNA-Glu". It matches the Rfam family "tRNA". Rfam says of the family: Transfer RNA (tRNA) molecules are approximately 80 nucleotides in length. Their secondary structure includes four short double-helical elements and three loops (D, anti-codon, and T loops). Further hydrogen bonds mediate the characteristic L-shaped molecular structure. tRNAs have two regions of fundamental functional importance: the anti-codon, which is responsible for specific mRNA codon recognition, and the 3' end, to which the tRNAs corresponding amino acid is attached (by aminoacyl-tRNA synthetases). tRNAs cope with the degeneracy of the genetic code in two manners: having more than one tRNA (with a specific anti-codon) for a particular amino acid; and 'wobble' base-pairing, i.e. permitting non-standard base-pairing at the 3rd anti-codon position. The record is from RNAcentral.
GCUUCCGUGGUGUAGUGGCCAAGCAUUUAGCCCUUUCGAGGCUAAGACCCGGGUUCGACUCCCGGCGGAAGCA